GGCUUACUUGCUUUUUUAGAUACUCGACGCUACAAAAGCCUGCAGGAGACACAAUAAUAUUAAUAAUUUCAUUUAACUCUUCAAAUGUAAGCCUGCAUUAUUAAGGAUCAUUUCUAAUUAUUUGAUUUCACAAUAUAGUUUUUCCCAGGGAUCAAUAAACCACCUAAAAUUUUCUUUUAAGAGUAUAAGCAUGGUGAGCACCUAUCAUUGCAUUAUUACAAUUUCAAUCACACUUAUUUUUUCUGAUUUUUUUGGUGGAGUUAUAUUUUCUUUAUACAUGUAGAAUGAAAAUAGUCAUUUUUUCCCCAACUGAAAUAACAUAGUUAGUGGUCGACUCUGCAAACUUUUCAUUUAGCUUAAAUUGACAAAAGAGCAUUCACACAACAAUGUUCUUCACUGGAACUUCAUCAAACACCAUCCCUGCAUCAUUCAUAGGUAGCAACUUCAUCUUACAAAUCCACCAAACUGGUACUGUCAAACACACUCGACUAUCAACCUGAUUUCUCCACAUGGGUAUUUAUCAUUUUACUGACACCAACAUCUAUGACACAAGAUUAUGAUGUUAAAGGACAACAUAAGGUGUUAUCUAUAUAAACACUAUUCAAGAGUAAGAAAUAAAGGUUGUGGAAAGCUGAAGAAUGGAACCCAUAUUGAGAAAAAGGAUAUAUAAUUGAAUUAAAGAGGAGGUAUUUUGGGAUUGGGGAUUUUGAAGAAGUGGCUUAAGGCUUUGUGGGAGUGAUCUCCCACAGACCUCGCAAAGUGUUGAAUUUAUGCAUCAUAAAUUGAUCUCCUAAUUCAUCAAGCAUACUCUUUAACAAAUAGUUUCAUUGGUUAGAUACACAAAUUACAUCAAUAUAAGAAGCCGAGUAAGUGGAUUUGUCAGAAUGGAAAAGAAGAAAAAAGAAUAUGAGAGAUCAGUAGCUCGAUAAAGGCAAUUUGAUACCACCAGGAAAACCAAAACUAAAUUCCAAGAAAUCGAAAAUUGAUCGAUUGAAAAAUGCGGUUCAAGUAGCAAAUAUUCCAAUUUAACCAAAACUUUGAUUGCAGGGAUGAGAAUCCCAACCAAGUACCGAAUUUUUAAUUCAG
RNAcentral lists this long non-coding RNA (1086 nucleotides) under Olea europaea subsp. europaea. Lineage: Eukaryota; Viridiplantae; Streptophyta; Magnoliopsida; Lamiales; Oleaceae. The record is from RNAcentral.